GAUGAACGCUGGCGGCGUGCUUAACACAUGCAAGUCGAACGGGAAACCUUUUAUUGAAGCUUCGGCAGAUUUAGCUGGUUUCUAGUGGCGGACGGGUGAGUAACGCGUGGGUAACCUGCCUUAUACAGGGGGAUAACAACCAGAAAUGGUUGCUAAUACCGCAUAAGCGCACAGGACCGCAUGGUCCGGUGUGAAAAACUCCGGUGGUAUAAGAUGGACCCGCGUUGGAUUAGCUAGUUGGCAGGGUAACGGCCUACCAAGGCGACGAUCCAUAGCCGGCCUGAGAAGGAACGGCCACAUUGGGACUGAGACACGGCCCAGACUCCUACGGGAGGCAGCAGUGGGGAAUAUUGCACAAUGGGGGAAACCCUGAUGCAGCGACGCCGCGUGAAGGAAGAAGUAUCUCGGUAUGUAAACUUCUAUCAGCAGGGAAGAUAGUGACGGUACCUGACUAAGAAGCCCCGGCUAACUACGUG
This 476-nucleotide ribosomal RNA is filed under the name uncultured bacterium. RNAcentral describes it as "partial 16S ribosomal RNA". It matches the Rfam family "Bacterial small subunit ribosomal RNA", at positions 28 to 507 of the family's 1533-position model. The record is from RNAcentral.